Non-coding RNA from Mycena latifolia, 92 nucleotides. NCBI's taxonomy places the organism in Eukaryota, Fungi, Basidiomycota, Agaricomycetes, Agaricales, Mycenaceae. The record is from the annotation of a GenBank genome assembly.
GGCUCGGUGGUGGACGGUCCACACCUGCAAAACUUGAUUCUCAAGUGUACCGGCUUCUGCAGGAGGAGCCCGUUCGACUCGGGCCCGAGCCA